GACAGAGCAAGAACUCUUAAUGGAGGGUUAUGGCGAGUCCCAAACUUUAAUAAAAACCUCAGGGAACACCUCAAAGGCUGCAAAAGCCAGGAGACAGGGUUGGCAAAAAGUUGCAGACAAAUUAAAUGCAUAAGUAGUGACGGUGUUGGAUGUUUUUAUCACUUAUUACAGUAUAUUUUAUUAUUAUUUUUUUUAAUUUUCAUAAUUACUUUAAACUUUUAUAUUAGAGCCACCACGGGACCCACUAGAACUUGGGAACAAGUAAAGGUGAAAUACAAGAAUAUUCUACAAAAUGUGGAUGUUUGGCAUGGCAAACAAACGCUUUGCCGCUAUAGGUGGCACUGGAGCGCAGAACCAGGAUGUUGGAGUUCUCCUCAGAUGUGCCCUGCAUGUCUCCUGAACUGGAAGCCCACCACAGCAGAGCCCGAGGGACACCACCCUCCCAGGAGCAGGACAGCAUCAGGGGCAGUGAGCUUUUGAUGCUCAAUGAAGAACCCAGUGAUGUCACCAUAUUCCUGAACCAACCACUCCACGUUGACGUUUGUCCUCUGACGCCCACUGUAUAUGAUCUUACUGAUGGUCACAUUGGGAGGUGUUGGGUGCCCUGAAUCAGGAAGGCAUUGAAAUGAACAUGAAUAACAUUCCAGUCAGGUUCGACCAGGUUCCAGCUUGCUGAACAACAUACUUCUUGGGUUUGUCUCCUACGGUCUGCUUUAAGUUGUUGUACCAUGUGUACUUUGUAACUGGAGGGUAAGUUUUACUCAACAUGCAAGUGAGCUGGAUAUCAUUGCCCUCAAAAACAGAAACCACACUCUGCUGAGGCAUCAAGACUGGCUUCUCUGUAAGAGAGAAGUGGUGUAGAAUCUCUUCAUAUAGAAUAGAUAUUGUAAAUGUUAAGAUACUGAUCAAUAUUUCAUCUUUUGAACAUCUUUUGAGUGGUCCGUACCUAGUAUUACCACACAUUUCUUGCUCUCUUUAAUCAGUGGAUGUUUGACAUGACACACAAAGGUUUUGCCAUUGUAUGUGGCACUUGAGCGCAGGAACAAGGUGUUGGAGUUCUCCUCGGGUAAACUCUGCAUGUCUCCUGAACUGGAAGCCCACCACACUAAGGCCAGAGGAACACCACGCUCCCAGUAACAGGACAACAUCAGGAGGAGAGGAAGCAGGAAUGCAGUUAUGGAGAAAUCACGCACCACUAACAGUCUGUUUAUCAUGGUGCCAUGACGCUCAGGAGACCAAUCUGUAUCCACAAUGGCAAAGAAAUUGGC
This is a long non-coding RNA of Pangasianodon hypophthalmus (striped catfish), 1268 nucleotides long. RefSeq lists it as uncharacterized. NCBI's taxonomy places the organism in Eukaryota, Metazoa, Chordata, Actinopteri, Siluriformes, Pangasiidae. The record is from RefSeq and is a predicted model, not a curated record. The transcript is spliced from 5 exons.